AUACGUAGGGGGCGAGCGUUGUCCGGAAUGAUUGGGCGUAAAGGGCGCGUAGGCGGCUUUGCAAGUCAGUAGUGGAAGUCCAUUUUUCAAGGAUGGAAGUGCUACAGAAACUGCGGAGCUUGAGUGCAGGAGAGGUUAUCGGAAUUCCCGGUGUAGCGGUGAUAUGCGUAGAGAUCGGGAGGAACACCAGUGGCGAAGGCGGGUAACUGGACUGAAACUGACGCUGAGGCGCGAAAGUGUGGGGAGCAAACAGGAUUAGAUACCAUGGUAGUCCACGCCGUAAACGAUGAGUGCUAAGUGUUGGAGGGUUUCCGCCCUUCAGUGCUGCAGCUAACGCAUUAAGCACUCCGCCUGGGGAGUACGGCCGCAAGGCUGAAACUCAAAGGAAUUGACGGGG
RNAcentral lists this ribosomal RNA (397 nucleotides) under uncultured bacterium. Its description in RNAcentral is "partial 16S ribosomal RNA". It matches the Rfam family "Bacterial small subunit ribosomal RNA", at positions 523 to 918 of the family's 1533-position model. The record is from RNAcentral.